GGGCUGUAGUUUUCGUCAUUCGAUGUUAAAUUAAAAAUUAAAAGGAUCUUGUUAACUUUUUGAACAUAGGGAAUAUAGUCCCAGUAACUGUUUUAACGUCUUCUGCUGAUUCUCUUGUGGUGUAAACUGGAGGCUGGUUUUGACUCCUGGUCUCCUCACUGAGGGCUGUGCUUUCCUACCCACUUGUCUGAAAGCUUGGUUACCCUUGACCGGAUGCCAGGCAUUGUGAUGUUGCCAUUUGAGAUGUUGGGUAGUUUGGCCUCCAAUAAAUGUUUUGUAGCUUUGUUCUGGGAUGAAGUUAAAUUAUUUGUGAAGAGUUUGGUGUUUGUCUUGUUUAGAUGAUUUAUUCGGCAGACAUGGACGUAUGCUCUGUCUACUGCCCUCUUUCUCUUCCCCCUUCCUUCUUCUUUUGGACUGAAUUCAGGGCCUCUCACUUGCUAGACCAGAGCUCUGCAUGAAGCCAAAUCCCAAACAUUCAGUGGAGGGCUUUAUCUAGGUCUAGUAGUGGUGAUCCCACCUCUGAGGCACAACUGUGUCAUUUGGAUCUGAGGAUUUUCCCCAAGGCCCACAUGUUCAAUGCCCUCUCCCUGGCUGGUGGCACCAGUCUGGGGGAAGGUGAUGGAAGCCUUAGCAAAUGGGGCCCGGUUGAUGGAAGGAAGUCGUCGUGGGCAUGCUCAGGAGGGCACCCUGGGAACCUGCUCUCCCUCUCCUUUUCUCUGCUUCCUGGUUGCCAUGAUGUAAAGAUCUUUUCUCUGCUAUAUGCUCCUUUGCCAUGAUGUUCUGAUUCACCGUGGACCUAGAAAUAAUACUCCAGUGGUCAUAGAAUGAAGUUCCUGAAACCAUGAGCCACAGUUUUAAAUGCUUCUCCCCUUAAGCUAUUUUUUUUCCCUCAGCCAUUUUUUCACAAUGACAGAAAGCUGCCGAACACAGUAACCUUCCUGAUAAUUCUAUCCAAUGUCUGAGAACGCCGAGGUUUUCUAGUCUAGCUCGUGAGAAACAUUAUCUCUUUGUCUGUUUGUGCACCAGGUACUUACUAUUCCUCUAAUCUUUUGGAAGCCUCUUUCCUGGCCCUGGAUGCUUUCUUCCCCUGUGAGCACUGACAAGGUCUCACAUAUUCUGUCUUUGAACUUGAAGCAGCCAGGGAGGACCUUGAACUUUUCUGAUCCUCUGCCUUCAGAAGGUUGGAAUUAUGGGACUGCAGGCCUGUGCCUCCAGGUCUGGUCACACAGUGCCAUGGAGGAACCUCGACUUGGCGCAUGCUCAGCAAACACUCCUGUGUAGGUCGUUGUUCCCAUCUCUUUAGGAGUCUCUCCUGUUGUUCUUGUGAUUUGAAAGGAUACUACAAGUCCCUUUCUCACGUUGAUUUCGAGAGAAAAGGAAACUUUGUUGCCUGUUGUCAGCUCCCCUUUCUCAAACAAGGCUUGUGUCUCUAGACCUGAAACCCCACUGUCAAAGCUGGUGUUAGGAAGCAGGCGUCAGCAAACUGCGCCCCACAAACCACUGGCUUCUGUAAAUAAAGUUUUACUGGCCC
Molecule: long non-coding RNA, 1531 nt
Organism: Peromyscus leucopus (white-footed mouse)
Lineage: Eukaryota; Metazoa; Chordata; Mammalia; Rodentia; Cricetidae
Exons: 2
Source: RefSeq, a predicted model, not a curated record